Molecule: transfer RNA, 86 nt
Filed under: Thalassovita gelatinovora
Lineage: Bacteria; Pseudomonadati; Pseudomonadota; Alphaproteobacteria; Rhodobacterales; Roseobacteraceae
Description: Thalassobius gelatinovorus tRNA-Thr
Source: RNAcentral
GGCGCUUUGGUGAGGUUGGCGCGUCGCUUAUCUGUCGUCCGGAUAUGGCUGGAAUAAAGCGCGUCGUUCAGACGGUGCAGCGCCAC